CCCUUAGAUGUUCUGGGCUGCACGCGUGUUACAAUCGGGAGUACAACAAGAUUGCAAAUCCUAGUGGAUGAGUGGUUCUUCGAAAUUUUCUGAAGACUGGGAUAGUUGAUUGAAAUUAUUCAACUCGAACGAGGAAUUCCUUGUAAUUGUAAUUCAUUAUAUUGUAAUGAAUACGUCCCUGCCCUUUGUACACACUGCCCGUCGCUCCUACCGAUUGAACGAUCCGGUGAAUUAUUUGGAGUAGCUCUGGAAGUUGCAGAACUUCCUAUGUCACGAAAUUUUGUAAACCUUAUCGUUUAGAGGAAGGAAAAGUCGGAACA
Molecule: ribosomal RNA, 320 nt
Filed under: uncultured eukaryote
Lineage: Eukaryota
Description: partial 18S ribosomal RNA
Rfam family: Eukaryotic small subunit ribosomal RNA
Source: RNAcentral